This is a non-coding RNA of Daphnia pulex (common water flea), 88 nucleotides long. Lineage: Eukaryota; Metazoa; Arthropoda; Branchiopoda; Diplostraca; Daphniidae. The record is from Rfam.
GGAAGUGUGGCCGAGAGGUUUAAAGCGUUGGCUUGCUAAGCCAUUGUGUUUUUUUAAAGCACCGGAGGUUCGAAUCCUUUCACUUCCG